GACGAACGCUGGCGGCGUGCUUAACACAUGCAAGUCGAACGAAGUGGCGAACGGGUGAGUAACGCGUAAUGAACCUGCCCUUCAGAGGGGGACAACAGUUGGAAACGUCUGCUAAUACCGCAUACUGAAGGAGGGGAUUGCGGGGGAUUAGCUAGUGGGUGGGGUAACGGCCCACCAAGGCGAUGGUCUGUAGCCGGGCUGAGAGGAUGAACGGCCACAUUGGGACUGAGACACGGCCCAGACUCCUACGGGAGGCAGCAGUGGGGAAUAUUGGACAAUGGGCGAAAGCCUGAUCCAGCCAUGCCGCGUGUCUGAAGAAGGCCUUCGGGUUGUAAAGGACUUUUGUUAGGGAAGCGGUACCCAAAGAAUAAGCACCGGCUAACUACGUGCCAGCAGCCGCGGUAAUAC
RNAcentral lists this ribosomal RNA (408 nucleotides) under uncultured bacterium. RNAcentral's name for it is "partial 16S ribosomal RNA". It matches the Rfam family "Bacterial small subunit ribosomal RNA", at positions 28 to 526 of the family's 1533-position model. The record is from RNAcentral.